ACCUUCUUUAUAAAGUUCUGUGCUAAAAUUGACUAAAACCAGGUUUUAUCUUGGUUUUGUUGAUGAUGCUAGCAGAGAAUAAAAGGGAAGAAAAUUAUAUGCACUGUAUUGGAAAUGAGGAGAGGUCGGGCCUCUUUCUUAAUGUCCAUUGACCUUCUGCUCAAAAUCCAGUGCCACAUUG
Polypterus senegalus (gray bichir) is the source of this 181-nucleotide small nucleolar RNA. RefSeq annotates it as small nucleolar RNA SNORA81. Lineage: Eukaryota; Metazoa; Chordata; Cladistia; Polypteriformes; Polypteridae. The transcript has a single exon. The record is from RefSeq and is a predicted model, not a curated record.